UAAAUAGAGAGAGGGAGAGGGAGAGAGAGAGAGAAACCCUAAUCGGAAAAGAAAGUCCAUUUUUCUUUUGUGAGUUUGAUUCGAUACUUGGAUUUUUCUAUUUACUUAUUACUUUGAAUUUUAGAGCAGCAGGAGCUAUUUAUUUAGUAAAUAGUUGAUUUGAUAAGUUGUUUGUAAAUUGCCUGCUCUCUAGUUUCUAUUUAUUUGUUAUUGGGUGUUGGUGUUAAAGAAUCAAGAGUUAAUGGCCGCCGUAGAUUUGAAGAAAUCAGCAAAAACCCUAACAGCCGGUGAUGAAAGUAAGAUUACAAGUCGGACAUCGGAAAAUAUGAUCAAGCCUUGUCACUCCCACUUCUACAAAUCCUAAUCCCAGUUCCAAUCCCAAUAUCCCAAUCCCAAUCCAGGAGGCUGAUUGCCAACCCCAGCUUCCGCUCAGGUAAGUAAACCAUCCCUUAUUUCUCCACACCUUAUACUACUUUCUCAUUACCUUUCCUUUAUAAAAACAAUUCUGUUUAAAAUUAGUCUAUAUGUUUUUGUAAAUGUGUAGAUAUAGGAUUAUAGCGGAAUUGUUUGCUCAUGUGAACUGUUCCUUGAGAUUGCUUCUUCUGCGUAAAAGGUCGCCUACUGUUCAAAAUGUUUUUGCUCAGGUGAAAGUCAUGGCACAAAGAUAAUGCCUAACCCUUCACAAUAUUCCUGUUUGAUAGUGCAUUUCUUUCAUAUGCUGGUUGGCGCCUAGCAGUGGUGGGUGUUGCUUUUCCACUUAUAACCAAGUGUUCUUCUUUUCCUUUCCUUUCCUUUUUUCAGAAAGUUCUUGCACAUGCAUCCUACUUAACUGAAAUUUGUACUUCCGGAAACCAUAAAGAUAGAUAGUAUUUUGGUGCAGGACUAGAAAACUCUAUGCACCAAUCCAGAUAUGAAUAUCACCUUGCUAGUUGAUGUUGUAGAAACUCACUCUCAAGUAUCUGACUUUAUGGCUCUGCGCCAAGUUUUUAAUUUUAGGCUUAUUCAUUUCUUUGCCCUGCAUCCUGAGGUACGCCUACUAUUUCUCAGAAUAUUUUCCCCACUUUUCCUUCUUCAAUAUGAAAGACUGCUGCAAGCUCCUUGAUUGGUUCUAAUAGGUAUGUUUUAGCAAAUGAAACUUGACUAUAUAAAACAGAAGAUGUGGAUCUCAACUGUAUAGGACAUGAAUAAUGCCUAAAAAUGUUAAUUUAGCUUCAUUUGAGUGACAUAUGAUAGUCUCGUGGUAUAUGAAAUGUUAGCGAUCAGAUUGAGCUGGCUUCAACUUAGUGAUUCUGCUUUGUAGGAUCGGGAUUAGUUAUUUGGUGACACCUAAAAGAUGAAACAGUUGCAUGCCAGAAAGUUUGAUUGAGUAAUUUUCAGAUGACUGCCCAUUUUGUAUAAAUGUACAAAGAAAAGAUUAAGUUUAUUUCAACAAAUUGAUUAUGUUUCCUCCUCUUGGGCAUACCUCUUUGCAUCCUGUAUUUGAUUAAUCGGAUAGGUAAUAUUCUAUGUAAUAUUUGGGUGUUAAAAGAUAAAAGAAAUGAACUCAUGCAUUUUUAUUUUUGAGAUCAAGGCUUGUGAUGUUCUAGAUGCCAUUUUGGUAGAGCCUUUUAGCCAAAGACAGCGUGUUGUUGUUGCUCAAACAGAAAAGACCCAACUCUUAGCAUCUCCAUCCCCCACACCAUCUGAUGGUGUUAGGAACAACAAAAAUGGGCAAUAAAGUAUUUACUAUUCAAUCUUCCAAUUUUAAGAGUAAAUCGGAGCUAGAUAUCUAAAAAUGGGAAGUAGAAGGAAUCAUGUUUUGAGUUUUGUAUUAUCAACCACACAGUACAGCUGAACCACCCACAAUGCUCUAUUGCUUCAAGUGUAUCUGAAAGCCCUCAUGUAAAGCUCACCUCAUCUGCUGACAGUUUCAGGUACAACUACCUGCACUAUUGACACCAAGGAGACCAAUGCCCAGUUGUGACGCCGAGCAUGAGACAAUAAACAGCCAAUCAACAUCAUGUUAUACGCCUGCAAAAAGAAUUCUAAACUUCUCGCACUCGGAAGGUGAUAAGAUUGCAUUGGAUUGUAUGACAGAUUAGUCAGACUACUACAAAGUUGUAAACCAAAACAUCCCUAAGACUACAGAAACACUUUUGAGGAUGAAAAUGUUACUUUUUCUCUGGAACCACAAAAGGAGAAGUCAAAGAACAUAUUGAUCUUCUUAAAAGAAUCAAGAAGGUGGCUGAUUCAAAGUCAGUUGUGUCAAAGUUUGAGGAGAAGAGGAUACAAGUGUACAAGUGACUGUGACAAGAUUCGUACAACCGGAAUUAGAUCCUCUUCGGAUCUCCUCACCGAGGAUCCGGAUAAUCAAUUAAUACCAACCGUUCAUCAAAGAUCGUGCAGUCAUAAUUGAAUGUUUUUUAUAUUUUAAAAAAAGUAAAGUAAUCUCAUUUUGCGUGAAAAUUUUAAUUUUCUUUUUUUAUGGCCGUGCGGUAUUUUAAUGAACGGUUGUUAUUAAUUGAUCUUCGGGAUCCCAAUGAGAGAAUCCAAAGAUGAUCUAAUUCCUUUAGAUAUAUAAAAGAAUAAAAUUGUGAUCGUACGUUUUUUGAUGAACCGUUGUUAUUAAUUGAUUCCGGGGAUCCUCAAUGAGGAAAUUUGGAGAGGAUGUAAUUCCCGAUCAACCAAUUGAAUUGAUACAGCGGCCCUGCAA
Malus domestica (apple) is the source of this 2692-nucleotide long non-coding RNA. RefSeq lists it as uncharacterized. Lineage: Eukaryota; Viridiplantae; Streptophyta; Magnoliopsida; Rosales; Rosaceae. The record is from RefSeq and is a predicted model, not a curated record.